Molecule: long non-coding RNA, 430 nt
Organism: Rosa chinensis
Lineage: Eukaryota; Viridiplantae; Streptophyta; Magnoliopsida; Rosales; Rosaceae
Exons: 3
Source: RefSeq, a predicted model, not a curated record
UGGGUCUUCUGUGAGAGACAUGCUUAGAAAAGAUUAAGCGCCAGCUUGCUUCCGGUUUGCAUCGGAACUUGCUCCAGAACCCAAUUACCUUUUUCCUAAUUAACUAUAAAUGGCUUCUCUACAUUGGGUUUGGGUGAUUCAGAGGUUGCUGAAAUUGUCAUUAAGUUUGGAGCUUCUGGAUUUUCGAUAAGGAUGAACACAGUAUCGACACAAGUUGUCUGAGGCUUACAUUCCAGAAGUUCUAGCAGACUGUGGCUAAGCUUAAAGGACUACACCAAUUGAUAUGGAAUUGGCAAGAUUUUAAAUAUUUUUGCGGGGAUUUUCUUUUUUGAAUCGACCCCCUACAAUUUCUUAAUCAUCAGCCUAAGCCCUCACUUAUUUACCAUAAUACUUAACUUUUAGUUCAGUACUAUGACCAAUUGCUUGAGAC